This 551-nucleotide long non-coding RNA is filed under the name Salvator merianae (Argentine black and white tegu). RNAcentral's name for it is "lncRNA (ENSSMRG00000002279.1)". Lineage: Eukaryota; Metazoa; Chordata; Lepidosauria; Squamata; Teiidae. The record is from RNAcentral.
CUUUCUUUCUCCUGCUGUAGGCAUUCAGUGUGGCCCAGUAACCCCCCUGAUAUUUAUUAAAUGAAAUAAGACAAAAAGCAUUUAUUUUAUUGAAGGGAUUUGAGGACGUAACUAUUCGCCAGCUCUGCAAAGUUAAUAGAAGGAAGGCUGUUGCAGUUUUCAAGAUGUUUCAAAGAAGCAAAGAAACACCAGUUUGGAGGAAAAGUGUUUUGAGUUACCAAGUGUGUUCAAACAGUCAAAGAGAGGAAAUACAGAAGGAAAGGCUGGAAUUGAGGCUGCAGGUACCCAGUAUGAUCACCAGAAAUCAGCUCCACCAAACUUAACAGGAAUACGUUCUGGAUAGGCGCGCAGUGCUUCAUCCAUACCUAGGCCACAGGAACAAGUUUUAUUUUUCCCCAUUCCUACCCUUUCUCACUGAAAGACUAAAAUAAGAAAUAUGAUUGGAGUCUUUUUUCCAAAGGAAAUCUCUUUGCUUUUCAACCUCUGACACUCUUGUCUGAUUCAGAAAUAAGAAAAACGAUUUGAAAAAUAAAAAGACGUGUCCCCCCCCA